CAUAGCAUAUCAAUAAGAGCGGGAUAAGACACCAACAGGGAUUGCCUCAGUAACGGCGAGUGAAGCGGCAACAGCUCAAAUUUGAAAUCUGGCCUCGGCCCCGAGUUGUAAUUUGUAGAGGAAGCUUUUGGUGCGGCACCGACCGAGUCCCCUGGAACGGGGCGCCAUAGAGGGUGAGAGCCCCGUAUGGUUGGACGCCUAUCCUCUGUAAAGCUCCUUCGACGAGUCGAGUAGUUUGGGAAUGCUGCUCAAAAUGGGAGGUAAAUUUCUUCUAAAGCUAAAUAUUGGCCAGAGACCGAUAGCGCACAAGUAGAGUGAUCGAAAGAUGAAAAGCACUUUGAAAAGAGGGUUAAAUAGCACGUGAAAUUGUUGAAAGGGAAGCGCUUGUGACCAGACUUGCGCCUCGUCGAUCAUCCGGGGUUCUCCCCGGUGCGCUCGGCGGGGCUCAGGCCAGCAUCGGUUCUCGCGGGGGGACAAAGGCUCCGGGAACGUAGCUCCUCCGGGAGUGUUAUAGCCCGGGGCGUAAUGCCCUCGCGGGGACCGAGGACCGCGCUUCGGCAAGGAUGCUGGCGUAAUGGUCAUCAGCGACCCGUCUUGAAACACGGACCAAGGAGUCAAGGUUUUGCGCGAGUGUUUGGGUGUCAAACCCGCACGCGUAAUGAAAGUGAACGUAGGUGAGAGCUUCGGCGCAUCAUCGACCGAUCCUGAUGUAUUCGGAUGGAUUUGAGUAGGAGCGUUAAGCCUUGGACCCGAAAGAUGGUGAACUAUGCUUGGAUAGGGUGAAGCCAGAGGAAACUCUGGUGGAGGCUCGCAGCGGUUCUGACGUGCAAAUCGAUCGUCAAAUCUGAGCAUGGGGGGCGAAAGACUAAUCGAACCAUCUAGUAGCGGGAUACCGCCGAU
RNAcentral lists this ribosomal RNA (900 nucleotides) under Triangularia bambusae. RNAcentral's name for it is "LSU rRNA". It matches the Rfam family "Eukaryotic large subunit ribosomal RNA", at positions 33 to 965 of the family's 3401-position model. The record is from RNAcentral. Lineage: Eukaryota; Fungi; Ascomycota; Sordariomycetes; Sordariales; Podosporaceae.